AACCCUCGGGAUUGUAAUUUGAAGAUUUGGCAUUGGAGAAAGCUAACCCAAGUUGCUUGGAAUAGUACGUCAUAGAGGGUGACAACCCCGUCUGGCUAACCGUUCUCCAUGUAUUGCCUUAUCAAAGAGUCGAGUUGUUUGGGAAUGCAGCUCAAAGUGGGUGGUAAACUCCAUCUAAAGCUAAAUACUGGUGAGAGACCGAUAGCGAACAAGUACUGUGAAGGAAAGGUGAAAAGAACUUUGAAAAGAGAGUGAAAUAGUAUGUGAAAUUGUUGAUAGGGAAGGAAAUGAGUGGAGAGUGGCCGAGGUUUCAGCCGCCCCUCGUGGGCGGUGUACUGCCGACGCCGAGUCAUCGAUAGCGAGACGAGGGUUACAAAUGGGAGCGCCUUCGGGCGUUCUCCCCUAACCCUCCACACUGCCACCGACGACAUAAUCCACCCAUUUCACCCGUCUUGAAC
This 458-nucleotide ribosomal RNA is filed under the name Yarrowia lipolytica. RNAcentral describes it as "eukaryotic LSU rRNA". It matches the Rfam family "Eukaryotic large subunit ribosomal RNA", at positions 132 to 659 of the family's 3401-position model. The record is from RNAcentral. Lineage: Eukaryota; Fungi; Ascomycota; Dipodascomycetes; Dipodascales.